AGCAGCCGCGGUAAUUCCAGCUCCAAUAGCGUAUAUUAAAGUUGUUGCAGUUAAAAAAGCUCGUAGUUGAAUUUCGGGGUCAGUAGGUCGGUCAUGCCACUGGUAUGUACUGGUCUCACUGAUUCCUCCUUCCUGAUGAACCGUAAUGCCAUUAAUUUGGUGUUGCGGGGAGACUGGACUGUUACUUUGAAAAAAUUAGAGUGUUUAAAGCAGGCUAACGCUUGAAUACAUUAGCAUGGAAUAAUGAAAUAGGACGUUUGAUUCUAUUUUGUUGGUUUUCUAGGAUCGACGUAAUGAUUAAUAGGGAUAGUUGGGGGCAUUAGUAUUCAAUUGUCAGAGGUGAAAUUCUUGGAUUUAUUGAAGACUAACUACUGCGAAAGCAUUUGCCAAGGAUGUUUUCAUUAAUCAAGAACGAAAGUUAGGGGAUCGAAGACGAUCAGAUACCGUCGUAGUCUUAACCAUAAACUAUGCCGACUAGGGAUCGGAUGAUGUUAAUUUUUAAUGACUCAUUCGGCGCCUU
Molecule: ribosomal RNA, 520 nt
Filed under: uncultured Glomus
Lineage: Eukaryota; Fungi; Glomeromycota; Glomeromycetes; Glomerales; Glomeraceae
Description: SSU rRNA
Rfam family: Eukaryotic small subunit ribosomal RNA
Source: RNAcentral